CCUACGGGUGGCUGCAGUGAGGAAUAUUGGUCAAUGGCCGUAAGGCUGAACCAGCCAAGUAGCGUGAGGGAAGACUGCCCUAUGGGUUGUAAACCUCUUUUAUGCGGGGAUAAAGGUGUCCACGUGUGGAUGUUUGCAGGUACCGCAUGAAUAAGGACCGGCUAAUUCCGUGCCAGCAGCCGCGGUAAUACGGAAGGUCCGGGCGUUAUCCGGAUUUAUUGGGUUUAAAGGGAGCGUAGGCCGGUCUUUAAGCGUGCCGUGAAAUUUUGUGGCUCAACCAGGGGAGUGCGGCGCGAACUGGAGACCUUGAGUGCGCGGAAGGAAGGCGGAAUUCGUGGUGUAGGGGUGAAAUGCUUAGAUAUCACGAAGAACCCCGAUGGAGAAGGCAGCCGUCCGGAGCGUAACUGACGCUGAGGCUCGAAAGCGCGGGUAUCGAACAGGAUUAGAUACCCGUGUAGUA
RNAcentral lists this ribosomal RNA (460 nucleotides) under uncultured bacterium. Its description in RNAcentral is "partial 16S ribosomal RNA". It matches the Rfam family "Bacterial small subunit ribosomal RNA", at positions 338 to 795 of the family's 1533-position model. The record is from RNAcentral.